AAUAGAUACCCAGGUAGUCCACGCCGUAAACGGUGGGCACUAGGUGUGGGCGACAUUCCACGUCGUCCGUGCCGCAGCUAACGCAUUAAGUGCCCCGCCUGAGGAGUACGGCCGCAAGGCUAAAACUCAAAGAAAUUGACGGGGGCCCGCACAAGCGGCGGAGCAUGUGGCUUAAUUCGACGCAACGCGAAGAACCUUACCAAGGCUUGACAUACACCGGAAACGUCUGGAGACAGGCGCCCCCUUGUGGUCGGUGUACAGGUGGUGCAUGGCUGUCGUCAGCUCGUGUCGUGAGAUGUUGGGUUAAGUCCCGCAACGAGCGCAACCCUUGUCCCGUGUUGCCAGCAGGCCCUUGUGGUGCUGGGGACUCACGGGAGACCGCCGGGGUCAACUCGGAGGAAGGUGGGGACGACGUCAAGUCAUCAUGCCCCUUAUGUCUUGGGCUGCACACGUGCUACAAUGGCCGGUACAAUGAGCUGCGAUACCGCGAGGUGGAGCGAAUCUCAAAAAGCCGGUCUCAGUUCGGAUUGGGGU
RNAcentral lists this ribosomal RNA (534 nucleotides) under uncultured bacterium. RNAcentral's name for it is "bacterial SSU rRNA". It matches the Rfam family "Bacterial small subunit ribosomal RNA", at positions 777 to 1304 of the family's 1533-position model. The record is from RNAcentral.